This 492-nucleotide ribosomal RNA is filed under the name uncultured bacterium. Its description in RNAcentral is "partial 16S ribosomal RNA". It matches the Rfam family "Bacterial small subunit ribosomal RNA", at positions 29 to 507 of the family's 1533-position model. The record is from RNAcentral.
AGUGAACGCUGGCGGUAGGCCUAACACAUGCAAGUCGAACGGCAGCACAGUAAGAGCUUGCUCUUACGGGUGGCGAGUGGCGGACGGGUGAGGAAUACAUCGGAAUCUACUUUUUCGUGGGGGAUAACGUAGGGAAACUUACGCUAAUACCGCAUACGACCUACGGGUGAAAGCAGGGGAUCUUCGGACCUUGCGCGAUUGAAUGAGCCGAUGUCGGAUUAGCUAGUUGGCGGGGUAAAGGCCCACCAAGGCGACGAUCCGUAGCUGGUCUGAGAGGAUGAUCAGCCACACUGGAACUGAGACACGGUCCAGACUCCUACGGGAGGCAGCAGUGGGGAAUAUUGGACAAUGGGCGCAAGCCUGAUCCAGCUAUACCGCGUGGGUGAAGAAGGCCUUCGGGUUGUAAAGCCCCUUUGUUGGGAAAGAAAAGCAGCAGGUUAAUACCCCGCUGUUCUGACGGUACCCAAAGAAUAAGCACCGGCUAACUUCGUG